This 72-nucleotide transfer RNA is filed under the name Bos taurus (domestic cattle). It matches the Rfam family "tRNA". From Rfam's summary of the family: Transfer RNA (tRNA) molecules are approximately 80 nucleotides in length. Their secondary structure includes four short double-helical elements and three loops (D, anti-codon, and T loops). RNAcentral also lists the same sequence under 3 other names. Lineage: Eukaryota; Metazoa; Chordata; Mammalia; Artiodactyla; Bovidae. The record is from Rfam by way of RNAcentral.
UCCCUGGUGGUCUAGUGCUUAGGACGUGGCACUCUCACUACUGUGGCCCAGGUUCAAUCCCUGGUCAGGGAA